Molecule: ribosomal RNA, 497 nt
Filed under: uncultured bacterium
Lineage: Bacteria
Description: partial 16S ribosomal RNA
Rfam family: Bacterial small subunit ribosomal RNA
Source: RNAcentral
GACGAACGCUGGCGGCGUGCCUAAUACAUGCAAGUAGAACGCUGAAGAGAGGAGCUUGCUCUUCUUGGAUGAGUUGCGAACGGGUGAGUAACGCGUAGGUAACCUGCCUUGUAGCGGGGGAUAACUAUUGGAAACGAUAGCUAAUACCGCAUAACAAUGGAUGACCCAUGUCAUUUAUUUGAAAGGGGCAAAUGCUCCACUACAAGAUGGACCUGCGUUGUAUUAGCUAGUAGGUGAGGUAACGGCUCACCUAGGCGACGAUACAUAGCCGACCUGAGAGGGUGAUCGGCCAUACUGGGACUGAGACACGGCCCAGACUCCUACGGGAGGCAGCAGUAGGGAAUCUUCGGCAAUGGGGGCAACCCUGACCGAGAAACGCCGCGUGAGUGAAGAAGGGUUUCGGAUCGUAAAGCUCUGUUGUAAGUCAAGAACGAGUGUGAGAGUGGAAAGUUCACACUGUGACGGUAGCUUACCAGAAAGGGACGGCUAACUACGUG